This 253-nucleotide ribosomal RNA is filed under the name uncultured bacterium. RNAcentral describes it as "partial 16S ribosomal RNA". It matches the Rfam family "Bacterial small subunit ribosomal RNA", at positions 524 to 776 of the family's 1533-position model. The record is from RNAcentral.
UACGUAGGGGGCAAGCGUUAUCCGGAUUUACUGGGUGUAAAGGGAGCGUAGACGGUUAUGCAAGUCUGAAGUGAAAGCCCAAGGCUCAACCAUGGGACUGCUUUGGAAACUGUAAAACUGGAGUGCAGGAGAGGUAAGCGGAAUUCCUAGUGUAGCGGUGAAAUGCGUAGAUAUUAGGAGGAACACCAGUGGCGAAGGCGGCUUACUGGACCGUAACUGACGUUGAGGCUCGAAAGCGUGGGGAGCAAACAGG